Molecule: transfer RNA, 75 nt
Filed under: Spirilliplanes yamanashiensis
Lineage: Bacteria; Bacillati; Actinomycetota; Actinomycetes; Micromonosporales; Micromonosporaceae
Description: tRNA-Cys
Rfam family: tRNA
About the family: Transfer RNA (tRNA) molecules are approximately 80 nucleotides in length. Their secondary structure includes four short double-helical elements and three loops (D, anti-codon, and T loops).
Source: RNAcentral
GCCCGAAUGCCCGAGUGGUGAGGGGCGCGUCUGCAACACGCGUGUACGCCGGUUCGAAUCCGGCUUCGGGUUCCA